GAUGAACGCUGGCGGCGUGCUUAACACAUGCAAGUCGAACGAAGCACCUUAUUCUGAUUUCUUCGGAAUGAAAAAUUUGGUGACUGAGUGGCGGACGGGUGAGUAACGCGUGGGUAACCUGCCUCAUACAGGGGGAUAACAGUUAGAAAUGACUGCUAAUACCGCAUAAGACCACAGCACCGCAUGGUGCAGGGGUAAAAACGCCGGUGGUAUGAGAUGGACCCGCGUCUGAUUAGGUAGUUGGUGGGGUAACGGCCUACCAAGCCGACGAUCAUGAGCCGACCUGAGAGGGUGACCGGCCGCAUUGGGACUGAGACACGGCCCAAACUCCUACGGGAGGCAGCAGUGGGGAAUAUUGCACAAUGGGGGAAACCCUGAUGCAGCGACGCCGCGUGAGCGAUGAAGUAUUUCGGUAUGUAAAGCUCUAUCAGCAGGGAAGAAAAUGACGGUACCUGACUAAGAAGCACCGGCUAAAUACGUGCCAGCCGCCGCAGUAA
RNAcentral lists this ribosomal RNA (497 nucleotides) under uncultured bacterium. RNAcentral describes it as "partial 16S ribosomal RNA". It matches the Rfam family "Bacterial small subunit ribosomal RNA", at positions 28 to 523 of the family's 1533-position model. The record is from RNAcentral.